UGGAGAAAGUUUUAUUGCAGGACCAAGCAAGGAGGAGGGGGUGGCUCACGCCCAAGAAAACCCUGAACUCCCUGAAGGGUUUCAGCAAAGCAUAUUUAAAGGCCAGGCCUGUGAGUCUGUUUUUCACUAUGGAGAUCCCAGGACAUAAGAAGAAAGAUCCAAGGCUGCAUCAAAAUGAACAUUUUUUACUCUAGGGCAGUGGAUCCAAAACCAAUCGCACAGGAUGGAGCCUGGAGCAGCACAUGUGAAAAAGCCCUGAGGGUUUGCUUCCUGAAAACUCAAAACAGGACCCCCUAGGGGUAAAAGCCUCUGUAUCUUGUGGAUGGAUCCUCAGAAGCAUACAGUCCAAAAUGCUGUCUCUGAUUCUCAGAUUUCCCCCCACCCCCACCCCCGGAGGAUUAAAAGGGAUAGGAGUGGGCUAGAUUUAAGUGGGGGUGGAGGUCGGGGCUGGAAACCAGUGUCCUGGCGGCAUAGGAGGGAUGAAAGGCAUUUAACUUGAAGAUCUGUGGACUCAGGAGACAUAAACCAUAGGCUUCUCAUCGAGCGUGGGUCCUGCUUUCUGGAAAGUGCCGCUUCCAUUCAAGGUGGCAUUUUGGCUUUGGUAAAGGGCCCAAGCAGACAUCCCUUUUUUUUUUUUGUCCAGUCAGGAAGCAGGACACCAAUAGCAAGAGCAAUUGCUCAAGAUGUGAGCAUUGGACCAGUCCUCAGAAUCUCUGCUGCUCCCUCCUGCUGUCUUCCUGAUGGGGAAACUGAAGGCCAGGCUGAGAAGUGAUUCACCUAAAACCAAGUAACAAGUCAGGGGCAGGACUAAGGUCUGGAGCCCACACCUGCUGCUUCCCAGCACAAGGUCUCAGCUACCUCCUGAGAGGGGACCUUGAUUCUUGCCAUCACUUCAAAUACUGCCUUGGCUAUUGAUGGAGAGCUGGCAGCAGGGAACCAUUUCGGUGACUCCAGGAGGAAAGUUCUUGGGAAACAUUUGCUCCUCUGGGACUGGGUUUCCUUAUCUUCCAGCCCUCAGAAAUCAGCAUGAAAUCGACACGGCUGCCUCAAAAUAGUUCAACAAAGAGCAUCUUAGUCCCAAAGGCCUGGGUUUCUCAGGGGCACCAGAGGAGUCAGAUGCCCACUCCAGCCACUCUCUCAACCCUAGAUACUAGA
Camelus dromedarius (Arabian camel) is the source of this 1155-nucleotide long non-coding RNA. RefSeq lists it as uncharacterized. The record is from RefSeq and is a predicted model, not a curated record. The transcript has 4 exons. Lineage: Eukaryota; Metazoa; Chordata; Mammalia; Artiodactyla; Camelidae.